RNAcentral lists this ribosomal RNA (253 nucleotides) under uncultured bacterium. RNAcentral describes it as "partial 16S ribosomal RNA". It matches the Rfam family "Bacterial small subunit ribosomal RNA", at positions 524 to 776 of the family's 1533-position model. The record is from RNAcentral.
UACGUAGGGUGCAAGCGUUGUCCGGAAUUAUUGGGCGUAAAGAGCUCGUAGGCGGUUUGUCGCGUCUGCUGUGAAAACUCGGGGCUUAACUCCGGGCCUGCAGUGGGUACGGGCAGACUAGAGUGCGGUAGGGGAGACUGGAAUUCCUGGUGUAGCGGUGAAAUGCGCAGAUAUCAGGAGGAACACCGAUGGCGAAGGCAGGUCUCUGGGCCACUACUGACGCUGAGAAGCGUAAGCAUGGGGAGCGAACAGG